AGUUAGGAGAAUAUGGAGAAGUCAAAAAGCAGUUUCACGUACAAACAGAGUUUUGGAAGAAAAACUAAGAGAAGAGCCAAAGGAGAGAAUUUGAUUCUGUAGAGCUUUGUUCUUCAAUCUAAGGUAAGGGUGGGAUUAGCAUCCAAUUUUCUUAAGUCUAUAAUUCUGAUGAUUAACUUUAACAAGUUCUAGGAUUAGUUUUUGAAAAAUUGGGGAAUUAGGUUAAAAGUUAGGGGGUUAGAUACUUAUUCUCAUAAUCAUUUUCUUCUUGUUCUAGCUUGUGAUUAAUUGUUGAAUUGAUGAAUUCAUGAUGGGUGUUCUUACUAUGUUAAUGGGUUAUAAAUUCAUACGUUUCUUGUAGUUUAUUUUGAUGAACCCUUAUUUGAAUUCGGAGCUUCAUGUUUUUUUCGAAGAAUCCGUCGAUCAAAGUUCUUUUUAUUUUUAAUGUUAUCCUGUUUUGAUACAUGAAUGUUUUUGUUCUCAACAACUUUAGACCACCGGUGCUUUAGAUUCCAAUUGGUUACCUCAUACAUAAGUUGUUUUCUUUUGGUUUUGGAAUACCUCUUACGUGAGUGUUUUUGGGUUCUCAUAAAUUUCAAUCAUAGUGAAUAAUUAUCCUAGUAUUGGUUCUUUUUCUUUAUUCCGGUAAAUCGAUGUUCACUCACCACCCGAGUUAUCCCAUGUGAUUGUUGCUUUCAUAAUUGCUACAUGUCCCAUUGGAAGUUAAAUUAGAUGGGAUAUCUCUAGUCUUCAGUUUUUGUGUUCUUAUGUAUUGGUUCUGUGACAUCUUCAUUAGGACUAAUAUUCUACUAGAUUUUCAAUAAAUCAUUGAUGUAUUUGUUUUGUGAAUCGAUGCACAUUGUUUAACAGGAGACCACUAUGAAUAACUUUUUACUUUUUGAGAAUGAGAAAUUGAAUUAAAUUCAAAUCAUAUAUGUCCAUAAAUUUUUGGAACCGUAACACUAUUUUGAGGGAAUGGCUAUAUGCAAUUUUUUUAUGGAGUACUUGUUUUCAUAUUUUGAAUUCUUUUGCUAUAUUUGUGUGCAUAGUUAUAAAUUUGGGCAUAUGAAUCUUAUACCUUCUUAAUAGUAGUUAUGAGCUAUUAUUAUUGCUCCCUGUUAUGUAAGAACUUCCUUCCACUAGUUAACAAAUACAUGUAUAUAAAUUGAGUUUAUAUGAUAUAGGACCCAUUGGGAAUGCGUAUAAUGCUUAGUUUCUAGAGUGCAUGGAAUUGUUUUAUUUCUUGUCUCAUUCGGACCUUAGCACUGAUAUGCCAUGCCUACUUUGAAUUAUAAUAUUCUUAUAUUUGGCUUGUUGAUCUUGUGAGAGUAUAUUAUAAUUUUCAUAGUGAUUUUAAGUUAAUUGUGUUCACGAUGAUAUGAUAGAAUAAGAACGAAUCAAAGUUGUAUUUGAGUUGAAACCAUUUGAGUUGUCUAUGUUGUAUUUUAAGUUAUUGAAACCAUUUGAGUUGCCUAUGUUGUAGUUGAGUUGUAUGCUGAUAUACACAAAGUUGAGUCCAUUUCAUAAUUAGGAACUGUUGAGGGCUCAUGCCCUGGAAUGUUAAGCAUUCAACCGUUGAGGGCUUAUGCCCUAGAAUGCCUUGUCAUUCAAUCUGUUGAGGGCUCAUGCCCUGGAAUGUUCAUCUUUCAAAUUGUUGGGGGCUUAUGCCCCGGAAUGCUUAGUCAUUCAACCCGUUGAAAUGGUACCACAUGCCCUUAGAUGUUGUUGUUGUUGUUGAUUAUGUCGUUGUAGUGGUCGUUGAUGGUGUUAUUGUCGUUGUGGUGGAUUGUGUCGUUGUAGUAGUUGUCGAUUGAGUUGUUGUUGUCGUCGUUGGUUGAUUUAGUAAGUGUUAUUAAAGUUGAAGAAGUAUGAAUAUCAUUGUUGAAUAUAUGUUGUUAAUUAUGAUAUUUAAUUAAGUGAUUAAAUGCAGUUGAUGGUUAUAUAUAUCUAUUAUUAUUGUUUGUGAAUCUCACCCCUUCUGCUUGGAAAUGUUGCCCUGUAUGGGUAACUUGCAGGUAAUGAAGAUGAGUAGGAGUGGUGGCUCAAAGUGUCUGGGGCUCUGAUACGUAACGGGAUGGGAAAUUGUUGUCAUGUUUUCAUUCCUUAUGUUUCAUUAUGAACCUAUUGAUGUUGAUUUUAAUCUUUAAAGAUAUUUUUGUUGAGGCCAAGUGCCAAAGAUUUAUUGGAAGUUGUUUAACGUUGAAAAACAUUUCCGCUGCGAUGACUGUUAUGAUUUGACAGAACUAUUAUGAAUAAAUAAUAUUUUAUUCUAUUUUAAGACUUUUUGAAAAGCAGUGUAACACUCUGUUGUUGAUUUAACUCUGAUUUUAUUUAUUAAUAUAACUGUUGGGAAGUCGGGGUGUUACAGCAUAACCCGGAAAAUCCUCUCAAUCUCCUUAAGCCACGUCUGGGCUCCAUCAGGGUCAUAAUGUCCUUUGAAAGUUGGAGGGUUCUUCUUCAUGAAAGUCUCCAACAUCCUAG
This 2481-nucleotide long non-coding RNA is filed under the name Medicago truncatula (barrel medic). Its description in RNAcentral is "long non-coding RNA (MTRU_LNC007460)". Lineage: Eukaryota; Viridiplantae; Streptophyta; Magnoliopsida; Fabales; Fabaceae. The record is from RNAcentral.